AUGCUUUCAAAUAAAUUUUAAUAGCGUAUAAUCCUAAAGUUGGUUUUUGCCAACUAUAGCAAUAAACGAAGCGUGGAAUAAGCGUAGCGGACCCGGGGGCAGUACCCGGCGCCUCCACCACUCCGAUCAAUCUGUCUUCGGGGGCGAACCAGGAUCGACGCGCGUAAUAAAGACGUUUUUUUUGCUCGGUAUGGUACCGCCGUUAUCGGGCUUUUAUAAUAGUUGCAAAUGACAACUAUGCGGAGGCACGCCUCGCUGCUUAAGCAGUCGGGCAAGCCCAACUAAACUCCAUGUGGUUCGCACCACACGGCGGGGUUCGGGGUGCACCUGGCAACAGAAGCGCCUCACU
This 349-nucleotide transfer-messenger RNA is filed under the name Rhodospirillaceae bacterium. It matches the Rfam family "Alphaproteobacteria transfer-messenger RNA". From Rfam's summary of the family: Bacterial tmRNA, also known as 10Sa RNA or SsrA, is named for its dual tRNA and mRNA-like properties. Its role is to liberate the mRNA from a stalled ribosome. To accomplish this part of the tmRNA is used as a reading frame that ends in a translation stop signal. The record is from RNAcentral. Lineage: Bacteria; Pseudomonadati; Pseudomonadota; Alphaproteobacteria; Rhodospirillales; Rhodospirillaceae. RNAcentral also lists the same sequence under 1 other name.